GGGUAUAGCUCAGUGAUAGAGUGCAUGCCUAGCAUGCCCAAGGUCCUGGGUUCAAUCCCCAGUUCCUCCA
This 70-nucleotide transfer RNA is filed under the name Camelus bactrianus (Bactrian camel). It matches the Rfam family "tRNA". Rfam says of the family: Transfer RNA (tRNA) molecules are approximately 80 nucleotides in length. Lineage: Eukaryota; Metazoa; Chordata; Mammalia; Artiodactyla; Camelidae. The record is from Rfam by way of RNAcentral. RNAcentral also lists the same sequence under 3 other names.